Molecule: ribosomal RNA, 286 nt
Filed under: uncultured Desulfobacterium sp.
Lineage: Bacteria; Pseudomonadati; Thermodesulfobacteriota; Desulfobacteria; Desulfobacterales; Desulfobacteriaceae
Description: partial 16S ribosomal RNA
Rfam family: Bacterial small subunit ribosomal RNA
Source: RNAcentral
CGCGAACCCUCCGACCUUAGUUGCCUAGCAUCAGUUGGGCGACUCUAGAGAUACUGCCCCGGUUAACGGGAGGAAGGUGGGGAUGACGUCAAGUCCUCAUGGCCCUUAUGCCCAGGGCUACACACGUGCUACAAUGGGCGGUACAAAGGGUAGCGAUGCCGCGAGGUGAAGCCAAUCCCAAAAAGCCGUCCACAGUUCGGAUUGGAGUCUGCAACUCGACUCCAUGAAGCCGGAAUCGCUAGUAAUCGUGGAUCAGCAUGCCACGGUCGAAUACGUUCCGGGCCUU